This 468-nucleotide ribosomal RNA is filed under the name uncultured bacterium. RNAcentral's name for it is "partial 16S ribosomal RNA". It matches the Rfam family "Bacterial small subunit ribosomal RNA", at positions 28 to 507 of the family's 1533-position model. The record is from RNAcentral.
GACGAACGCUGGCGGCGUGCUUAACACAUGCAAGUCGAACGGAAAGGCCCUGCUUUUGUGGGGUGCUCGAGUGGCGAACGGGUGAGUAACACGUGAGUAACCUGCCCUUGACUUUGGGAUAACUUCAGGAAACUGGGGCUAAUACCGGAUAGGAGCUCCUGCUGCAUGGUGGGGGUUGGAAAGUUUCGGCGGUUGGGGAUGGACUCGCGGCUUAUCAGCUUGUUGGUGGGGUAGUGGCUUACCAAGGCUUUGACGGGUAGCCGGCCUGAGAGGGUGACCGGCCACAUUGGGACUGAGAUACGGCCCAGACUCCUACGGGAGGCAGCAGUGGGGAAUAGUGCACCAUGGGCGGAAGCCUGAUGCAGCAACGCCGCGUGCGGGAUGACGGCCUUCGGGUUGUAAACCGCUUUCGCCUGUGACGAAGCGUGAGUGACGGUAAUGGGUAAAGAAGCACCGGCUAACUACGUG